AUCAUAUGCAAAAGUAGAAUUCUACCCUCAGAGAAAAUAGCGCUAAAAGUUCAACAUGCCAGAUGGGAAGAAACCAUUAAACAGCAAGUGGCCCAAAUUCAAGAUCUUCAGAGCAACUUGUUAAGGAUAAGUUUGGCUACCUUCAUCAGAGAAACCAGAAUCUGAAAGCAGAACACUCAAUUGACAUGGCCCCCACCAGAGGGCACCUGAGCCAGUUUCCAGGGUGCUCUCUAUACAGCAAUUGGAUACCCCUAAACAUCUUCCUUGGAAUCACUUAUGAGCACAAGGAUUUUCCAGGAAAACCUUAGUGAAGACUCUGCGACUCGGAAGAACUAAAUCGAUGUCUAAAUUCAAUCCAACCUCAGGUCACCAGGCAAUAGUGUUUAGUAUAUUCUGGAACUUAAUGCACUGACUCGAAAACUCAUUUGAAGGAACAGCCAGGGAUUUUCAAGUGCUUAGCCAAUUUAGGCUUUUCUAGUGCUCAGAAUACUUUCAAGAUCAAGGAACAAGACAUCGUGUUACUGGUACACCAGACAAAGCAGAACUGAGUUUGCAGUUAGAGCCAAAGGAACACACAGGUUUCUGCAGAAUUACGAUGGGACUUCAAAGCAGGGGCAAGGUUAGGAUUAUUUUAGAAAUGGUGUCAGAUAACUCUCUGAGUUAAAAUGAGUGUCCAUUGGAAACUAAUGCAAUGCUGUUACGCUACCUGGAAUGAAACUAAAAAAGUUAAACAAUGAAAUGGGUAUCCAGUGUGUGCAUCAAGGAUUUAAAUGCAAGACAAUGCAAUUACAAAAUUAAAGAAUUAGUGAAUUAAAAAAAACAGUGUUAAGUGGCAAAGUCAAAGAGUGACAGAAACUCGGAAGCAAUGGACAAAAAGAGCCUGAUUCAA
Long non-coding RNA from Prionailurus viverrinus (fishing cat), 889 nucleotides. RefSeq lists it as uncharacterized. The transcript has 3 exons. The record is from RefSeq and is a predicted model, not a curated record. Lineage: Eukaryota; Metazoa; Chordata; Mammalia; Carnivora; Felidae.